Long non-coding RNA from Trachemys scripta elegans, 316 nucleotides. RefSeq lists it as uncharacterized. The record is from RefSeq and is a predicted model, not a curated record. NCBI's taxonomy places the organism in Eukaryota, Metazoa, Chordata, Testudines, Emydidae. The transcript is spliced from 3 exons.
UUUAAUUUUAUAUGAUGAAAGGGGAGCUCUUAGCAGAAUACAGGAGAAACCCUUCCAUGACAAUCUCCCUAUGAGGAUACAGAACAACGAUGUGUACAGGAUCCUAUGUGUGAAUCAUUAGCCCACACACAUAUAAGGUCAAAUCGUGGGCCCCCAGAUUUGGUGUGGAGCUUAAGGGAGAUGAACAGUCUGGCCUUCAGAGACAUUUCUGGAUCCUGAAGAGCUACAGUGGACAACUCUAGGGAUUGUACUGGCACAUAUGACUAGGAAGGACUGAAGUCAGAAGACAGCCAUUGAAGAGUGGUAAAUAAAGUCA